GGGCCCGCACAAGCGGUGGAGCAUGUGGUUUAAUUCGAUGAUACGCGAGGAACCUUACCAGGGCUUAAAUGUAGUCUGACAGGGGUGGAAACACCCCUCCUUCGGCAGAUUACAAGGUGCUGCAUGGUUGUCGUCAGCUCGUGCCGUGAGGUGUCAGGUUAAGUCCUAUAACGAGCGCAACCCCUGCCGUUAGUUGCCAGCAUGUAAUGAUGGGAACUCUAACGGGACUGCCGGUGCAAACCGCGAGGAAGGUGGGGAUGACGUCAAAUCAUCACGGCCCUUACGUCCUGGCUACACACGUGCUACAAUGGUCGGUACAGAGGGCAGCUACCGGGUGACCGGAUGCG
RNAcentral lists this ribosomal RNA (347 nucleotides) under uncultured bacterium. RNAcentral describes it as "bacterial SSU rRNA". It matches the Rfam family "Bacterial small subunit ribosomal RNA", at positions 917 to 1269 of the family's 1533-position model. The record is from RNAcentral.